AGUGAACGCUGGCGGCAGGCCUAACACAUGCAAGUCGAGCGGCAGCGGGUUCCCGCGAGGGGAUGCCGGCGAGCGGCGGACGGGUGAGGAACACAUCGGAAUCUGCCUGGUUGUGGGGGAUAACGUAGGGAAACUUACGCUAAUACCGCAUGAGACCCUGAGUCGACGGACUGGGGGUGAAAGUGAGGGACCUUCGGGCCUCACGCGACCAGAUGAGCCGAUGUCGGAUUAGCUAGUUGGCGGGGUAACGGCCCGCCAAGGCGACGAUCCGUAGCUGGUCUGAGAGGAUGAUCAGCCACGACCGGGACUGAGACACGGCCCAGACUCCUACGGGAGGCAGCAGGUGGGAAUCUUGGACAAUGGGCGCAAGCCUGAUCCAGCCAUGCCG
Molecule: ribosomal RNA, 388 nt
Filed under: uncultured bacterium
Lineage: Bacteria
Description: bacterial SSU rRNA
Rfam family: Bacterial small subunit ribosomal RNA
Source: RNAcentral